UCGUGGAUUGCUUUGUCAGGUUGAUUCCGGUAACGAACGAGACCUCAGCCUGCUAAAUAGUCACGGUUGGUUUUUCCAGCCGGCAGACUUCUUAGAGGGACUAUCGGCGUUCUAGCCGACGGAAGUGUGAGGCGAUAACA
This 140-nucleotide ribosomal RNA is filed under the name uncultured eukaryote. Its description in RNAcentral is "partial 18S ribosomal RNA". It matches the Rfam family "Eukaryotic small subunit ribosomal RNA", at positions 1299 to 1458 of the family's 1831-position model. The record is from RNAcentral.